RNAcentral lists this transfer RNA (119 nucleotides) under Bacteroidales bacterium. RNAcentral describes it as "tRNA-OTHER". It matches the Rfam family "tRNA". Rfam says of the family: Transfer RNA (tRNA) molecules are approximately 80 nucleotides in length. Lineage: Bacteria; Pseudomonadati; Bacteroidota; Bacteroidia; Bacteroidales. The record is from RNAcentral.
GCUGCGGUAGUUCAGUUGGUAGAACAUUAGUUUGUUUGUGAUGGAAUUUCCAUUCAAGGACUAAUUAUCACAUACUACUAUGGUACUAAGGGUCGCAGGUUCGAGCCCUGCUCGCAGCA